This 526-nucleotide ribosomal RNA is filed under the name uncultured archaeon. RNAcentral's name for it is "bacterial SSU rRNA". It matches the Rfam family "Archaeal small subunit ribosomal RNA", at positions 293 to 823 of the family's 1478-position model. The record is from RNAcentral.
GAGAUGGAUUCUGAGACACGAAUCCAGGCCCUACGGGGCGCAGCAGGCGCGAAAACUUUACAAUGCGAGAAAUCGUGAUAAGGGAACCCCGAGUGCCCGUAAAUUCGGGCUGUCCGCCAGUGUAAAUAACUGGUGAAGAAAGGGCCGGGCAAGACCGGUGCCAGCCGCCGCGGUAAUACCGGCGGCUCGAGUGGUGGCCACUAUUACUGGGCUUAAAGCGUCCGUAGCUGGAUUGUUAAGUCUCUUGGGAAAUCCACCGGCUCAACCGAUGGGCGUUCAGGAGAAACUGGCAAUCUAGGGACCGGGAGAGGUGAGAGGUACUCCAGGGGUAGGAGUGAAAUCCUGUAAUCCUUGGGGGACCACCUGUGGCGAAGGCGUCUCACUAGAACGGCUCCGACAGUGAGGGACGAAAGCUGGGGGAGCAAACCGGAUUAGAUACCCGGGUAGUCCCAGCUGUAAACGAUGCGCGUUAGGUGUAUCGGUGACCACGAGUCAUCGAGGUGCCGAAGGGAAACCGUGAAACGUG